AUGCAACUGAUCAGAGACCUAGUGACUGGUAAAAUUAGGAACACAGAAGGCAGCAUUUGGUGCCAAUGGACAUUGUUAAAUAAUCAGAGCUGGUUUUUUAAUCAGACACAGAACCGCAAGAAUGGCAUCAGUGGUGGUAGUGAUGAUGGUCACCUCUUCAAGAAGGAUCUUCCUGGGAGUCACCGUGUGCUAGGAUGUGGUCUGAGAGUGGUGGGAAAGAGAGAAAGUGGCCCCUUCCUGAAGUCAAAUCAUUGGUUCCAGAAGACUGCCUCCCACUGGGGACUACAGAGAAGAGAGAAAGGGCUUCAAGAAUCCAAUUACCAUCUGGUGGUAUGCUAUAGGGAAGUGCAAUUCUUCUGCAUCAGCAAACACAAAAUGCAGCAGUUUGGUGAGCAAGCUGGCAGCUUCCAGAGCUUGGAGCAAAAAGGUAAGAAGCUCUGCUUCUUCAAAAACUGCUGUCUAGAAGCAAGACUGAAUAGCCCAUGA
This 486-nucleotide long non-coding RNA is filed under the name Vulpes vulpes (red fox). RNAcentral's name for it is "lncRNA (ENSVVUG00000029356.1)". Lineage: Eukaryota; Metazoa; Chordata; Mammalia; Carnivora; Canidae. The record is from RNAcentral.